Molecule: ribosomal RNA, 468 nt
Filed under: uncultured bacterium
Lineage: Bacteria
Description: bacterial SSU rRNA
Rfam family: Bacterial small subunit ribosomal RNA
Source: RNAcentral
UUCCAGACUCCUACGGGAGGCAGCAGUGAGGAAUAUUGGUCAAUGGGUUUACGCCUGAACCAGCCAAGUCGCGUGAGGGAAGACUGCCCUAUGGGUUGUAAACCUCUUUUGUCAGGGAGCAAUUGGCGCUACGUGUAGCGUUAUCGAGAGUACCUGAAGAAAAAGCAUCGGCUAACUCCGUGCCAGCAGCCGCGGUAAUACGGAGGAUGCGAGCGUUAUCCGGAUUUAUUGGGUUUAAAGGGAGCGUAGAUGGGUUGUUAAGUCAGUUGUGAAAGUUUGCGGCUCAACCGUAAAAUUGCAAUUGAUACUGGCAGCCUUGAGUACAGUUGAGGUAGGCGGAAUUCGUGGUGUAGCGGUGAAAUGCUUAGAUAUCACGAAGAACUCCGAUUGCGAAGGCAGCCUACUAAACUGCCACUGACAUUGAUGCUCGAAAGUGUGGGUAUCAAACAGGAUUAGAUACCCUUGUAC